Molecule: transfer RNA, 67 nt
Filed under: Schistosoma mansoni
Lineage: Eukaryota; Metazoa; Platyhelminthes; Trematoda; Strigeidida; Schistosomatidae
Source: RNAcentral
UCAGUGGCCGAGUGGAUAACGAGAUGGCGUUUGAAGCGAAAGGUACUGGGUUCGAGUCCCAGAAUGA